Molecule: microRNA precursor, 78 nt
Filed under: Trichobilharzia regenti
Lineage: Eukaryota; Metazoa; Platyhelminthes; Trematoda; Strigeidida; Schistosomatidae
Description: mir-3492 microRNA precursor family
Rfam family: mir-3492 microRNA precursor family
Source: Rfam by way of RNAcentral
AGCCCCUUGUAUCCGUGCUGAGAUUUCAUCAGAGAUCAACCCGUUGCGGCUGAUGGUACUUCCCAAAUAAGUGAAGCG